Molecule: ribosomal RNA, 394 nt
Filed under: uncultured bacterium
Lineage: Bacteria
Description: bacterial SSU rRNA
Rfam family: Bacterial small subunit ribosomal RNA
Source: RNAcentral
GACGAACGCUGGCGGCGUGCCUAACACAUGCAAGUCGAACGGAGCCGGCCCCGCAAGGGACUGGCUUAGUGGCGAACGGGUGAGUAACGCGUGAGGAACCUGCCUUUCUAGUGGGGGACGAACAGUUGGAAACGACUGCUAAUACCGCAUGACGCUUCUUGGGGGCGAUCCCCGGGGAGGUCAAAGCUUUAUGUGCUGAAAGAUGGCCUCGCGUCUGAUUAGCUAGUUGGCGGGGUAACGGCCCACCAAGGCGACGAUCAGUAGCCGGUCUGAGAGGAUGAACGGCCACAUUGGGACUGAGAUACGGCCCAGACUCCUACGGGAGGCAGCAGUGGGGAAGUAUUGCACAAUGGGCGAAAGCCUGAUGCAGCGACGCCGCGUGAGCGAAGAAGUA